Molecule: long non-coding RNA, 1267 nt
Filed under: Mus pahari (shrew mouse)
Lineage: Eukaryota; Metazoa; Chordata; Mammalia; Rodentia; Muridae
Description: lncRNA (MGP_PahariEiJ_G0006372.1)
Source: RNAcentral
GCCGAGAGGUUUGUUUGUUCCUGGCGAGGGAGCUCUUUCUAACCUAGGCAGAAGCAGCCAACCUUCUGAAAUACCCCGGGGCAGGAAUUCCAGGGCUUCCCACCUCCGGACUUCUCAGUAGAACAAACUAACUCUGUUAGAAUGCCAGAGGUUUUCAAGGAAUGCAAAAAAGAAAGCAGAGUGAAAGGAAAGAAAGACACUGAAGAGGUCCUCACUGGCAGUAACUUAUUCUUGUUACUUCUGCAUACCAUCAAUGAUGUUUGCAUCUUCAGCAAGCCUAGACAUCUCUGCCUGUGAACUUGGGAUGGAUGGAAGAUAUCUAUGGAAGGAUGCAGAUGAUGAGGCCAUUAAGAACCCAACUGUGGUGGACAGUCUUUUUCAAAUUAUUAUUAUUAUUAUUAUUAUUAGUAGUAGUAGUAGUAGUAGUAUGUUGUAUUAUUCCAUAGUAUCUGACCACCCUCUCUAAUACAAAUCAUACUUAAUGUUGUCACUUACGGUACAGUAUACACAUAGCACCAUGGAAACUAGCCAUGGGGUUAGCCCUUACUACUGCAUGAAUGUCUGAAGAGUAGGUACCAUCAACUAUCCUUCUAUGCUGCAUCAAUUAUCCUGUCUACUGCUGUAUGUCCAUUUUUACCUAUCAUUAAGCUUCACAAAAACUUAAGUUACUUAAAAAUUAAACAUUCAAAUGUUUGUUGAGAAAACAAUAAACAUGAAAAAUUUUCCUAUUACUUCGGCCAAUAAAAAAUUUAGAACUUCUAGUAACUAGGCACACAGGACUCUAAAGUAUGCUAUGCCUUGCCUGCUUUGGGCUACAAAUAUAUUCUGUUUUCUUGUGACUCCACCUUUACAGGAAGAGUUCUCGCUGGCCCCAUAUGCUUGAUGGCUUUGGGGUCUUCUUUCCAGGGCUUCACAUGGCUGCUGUCUUCCUAAGGAUAAAUUGCCUAUUUGACAGUAGAAUAAUGAAAUUCAUUUCAAGGUUGCUUCUGUCAAAGCCACCAGGUCCAGCAUUCUGGAGACUGCUCUGUAUAUAAAGUGCUUAAUUGAAAGUAAUCAAUGCCACAAAUCAAUUCAGGAUUUAGCAUCAAACACUGUUUGCUGAAUAAGACUGGAAGGCAAUCCCUGGUCUCAUAGAACUCAGGGAAAUCACAAAGUGAAAGCUUCAUUCUAGCUUACACUGCCUUCCUUAAAAGGUGCUGGUAUGAGCCCAUUAUACAGAAGCUAGAAUGCAAGGGUAAAAUAGAAAAUUGAUUUAACUUUUUUAUUU